GGGCUGUAGCACAGUGGGUUACGUGCAGGUGGCACAAAGCACAUGGACUGGAGUAAGGAUCCCAGUUCAAGCCCCAACUCCCCACCUGCAGAGGAGUAGCUUCACAAGUGGUGAAGCAGGUCUGCAGCGACUCCCCUGCAGAUGGGGGAGUCAGGGGCUCGAAUCAGGAUCCUUAUGCCAGUCAUUGUGUUUCGCACCAUGUGCACUUAACCCACUGCACUACCACCCAACUCCCCUACUGUUUUUUUUUUUUUUUGUCCAGGGACCAAAGACUGUACCUGGGUGGAUGGCGCUGGGUGGUGAAUGCUUUUCAAAGAGGCACACUUCCCCUUGAGGUAACAAGAGAUGGUUGAGAAGGUUGCAAGCUGAAGGGGCAGGGAGAGCUACUACCUGGCAUGAGGGGAUCUCCUUAGACUCAUUCUGAUGGGCUGCUGGAUCAGAAGCCUGGCAGCUUCUGGGGGAGAAGGGGCUGGAUCAAAAUUCUGCUCAGAACCCUAGGUUCUGACUAGGGAAGGUGUGAUCCAUGGGUCACCCCUCCCAGGGGGGCGCCUUCCUAACAUGCCAAGGUCUCCCCAGCCUGAGAAACCACAGAAGACUCAGUAACCCCAUAAUACCUUCUGCAACAACAUCAUCCCCUCUUUCUGCCCAUCUGGCUUUCAGCUGUGCCAAGUCCACAUGAUGGGGAGCUGGAUCCACCUGUCCUUGAAGCCCUUCAUAUGUGUUAAUCCCUGGGGGUUGGAUAGCAAGGCAUCACUUCCUCUUCCCCUCCUACCCCCCCCCCCACACACACACACAGGCCAGGCUGGGGAUAAAGUUGUCUCCUCACAUCCAAUGUCUCUGGGAACACCUAGCCAGGUCCCCUUCUUGGCUCACCACCAGCCGGCAACUUCCCUCCUGGAAGUUCCCCACCCAGAGCCCACCAGAAGUCCAGAGACAAAGCACCAACAAAGUGGUUGGUGGGUUUUAUUGAGACAGUCUUUUUCUUUCCUCUGUUGUGGGGGCUCCAUCAAGGGCUGAGACAUGAGAAGAGAUGGGGGUGGGGAAAGACUAAAAGAUACUUUUAGUGAAGAUCACAGAUUGUAGGUCUCUGAUGAAGGAAGAAC
Erinaceus europaeus (western European hedgehog) is the source of this 1103-nucleotide long non-coding RNA. RefSeq lists it as uncharacterized. The record is from RefSeq and is a predicted model, not a curated record. The transcript is spliced from 2 exons. NCBI's taxonomy places the organism in Eukaryota, Metazoa, Chordata, Mammalia, Eulipotyphla, Erinaceidae.